This 1539-nucleotide ribosomal RNA is filed under the name Oltmannsiellopsis viridis. RNAcentral's name for it is "SSU rRNA". It matches the Rfam family "Bacterial small subunit ribosomal RNA". Lineage: Eukaryota; Viridiplantae; Chlorophyta; Ulvophyceae; Oltmannsiellopsidales; Oltmannsiellopsidaceae. The record is from RNAcentral.
AAGUAUAACUAUUUGGUUUCAAUAGCGCAAAUACUUUAGAGGUGAAGAUAACACAUGCUAGUUGAGCGCGUAUCGUGCAGCGAACGGGUGAGUACAAUUCAGGAAUGCUACCCCUAAGACCUAAGAAAUUUGGGAUAAAAAGAGAAAGACUCGCUUAGGGAUGUGCCUGAAGAAUAUUAGGUAGUUGGUAUGGGUAAUAGCCUACCAAGCCCAAGAUGUUUAACCAUUCUGAGAGGAAGAGUGGUCACAUAGGAACUGAGACAAGGUCCUACUGGAAUUUAUCUGGCAGCAGUGGCUAAAUUUAGGCAAUGAUCGAAAGAUUGACCUAGUUACACCUCGUGGGUGAAGAAGAAGUUGGGAAGCAAAGGAGACUUCUGAAGGUUGAUUGACCGUAAAACCCUUUUCAUUUAUCUAGAAACAGACACGGGUAAAUGGAAUAAGUUCUGAGUAAUAUCUGUGCCAGCACUCGCGGUUAUACAGGAAGAGCGAAAGUAUUGCAACAUGAUUGGUGCGUAAAGGGGUAGUAGGCUGUUCGUUAAGUGUCAGUGGAUCCUUUAGCGCAACUUAAGGUGAAUCUGAAAAACUAACGAACUUGAGUAUAAGAAAGGAGAAUGGAAUUCCCUAUCGAGCGGUGACAUGUUAUGAAAUAGGGAGGAAGGCCAAGAGUGAAGACAAUUCUCUUGCUUAAGACUGACGCUGAGUACCGAAACCUAGGGGAGAGAAUCGGAUUAGAUACCCGAGUAUUCCUAGGCGUCAACGAUGAUCACUAAAGGAUACGACAGUGUCCUUGUAGCUAACGCGUUAAGUGAUCCGCCUGAAGAGUACGGUCGCAAGAUUAAAACUCAAGAAAUCCAAGUGUGUAGUAUAUAAACAGUGGGAGAUGCCAUUUAAUGCGUAACAACGCGCAGAACCUUACUUUGUCUUGUAUUUCUCUAGUAUAUUUAAUUUUAUCGUUAAAUAGCACUUUAAAUUAUUUUAGUGAUGGAGAAACACGUGUUGCAUGGUUGUUGUGAGUUCGUGGCUUGAGCCGUUAGGUUAAUUCCUUUAACGAACGUAACUCUCAUGCAGAUUUGCUAAUCUUUUAAGAUGCACAAUCUGUAACUGCCUGCGAUAUGCGGGAGGAAGGUGAGAUCCACUUCAAAUCCUCAUGGCCGUUAUGGCAAAGGCUAUAGGCGUCUCACAAUGGGAACUACAAAAAGAAACAAAAGCGUGAGCUGGAGUGAAUCUUUAAAACUUCCCACAGUUCGAAUCGUUUUCUGCAACUCGAAAACGUGAAGUUGGAAUUGUUAGUAAUCGUAGAACAGCAUGCUACGGUGAAUCUUUGAUCUGCUACGACUAUGAAUUGCUCAUCAUAGACUCAAAAUUUAUUAGGAACUAACUUGCAUGGUCCUACCAAAGUUUACUUUUUAAGAGUAUUUGUAAUACUUUUUUAAAAUUUAAAAUUAGGAGAUUAACUAUGCUGGGAAUUUCUUGUAGGUAAUGAGUCUAAAGUUGAAACACAGUAGGCCUUAUGGAAAUAGGGCCUGAACUAUAGAAAAU